Long non-coding RNA from Sinocyclocheilus anshuiensis, 1886 nucleotides. Ensembl annotates it as probable isoprenylcysteine alpha-carbonyl methylesterase ICMEL2. NCBI's taxonomy places the organism in Eukaryota, Metazoa, Chordata, Actinopteri, Cypriniformes, Cyprinidae. The record is from Ensembl.
UUCAACUUUUUAUUCUUCAAAGAAUCCUAAAAAUGUAUUGCGGUUUCCACAAAAAAUCAAUCAGAAUGAUUUCUGAAGCAUCACGUGACACUGAAGACUGGAAUUCUGGCUGCUGAAAAUUCAGCUUUGACGUCACAGGAAUAAAUGACAUUUUAAAAUAUUAAAAAAAUGAUUAAACAGUUAUUUUAAAUUGUAAUAAUAUUUGGCAAUAUUACUGUUUUUAGGUGGCAUAAAAAAGAUCAUGUUAGUAUCAUGUUAAAAUAAUGUCAUACAACAUAGAAGACUCAUAAAUAGUUUGUGUGAAUAAUACAUAUAAUUAAUGUCCAUUAAACUGUAAUCAUGUUUUGUGGCGUCCCCAGAUCUUUUUGUUUGUGUCUUUUUUUUUCUGUUUCAGGAUUGCGUUGAAGUGCUAUCUCUCUCUUCCAGUGGUGGCAGGGGCAUUAUUAGUGGGCCUCCCUUACAGUGUCUCUCUUGUUGCCCAAUGGCUCUAUGGCUGGCCCAAUAAACCAGGGUACCAAAAAUAUAUAGAGGCUUUCAAACCAAGGCGCAUAUACUGCCUUACAAGAGCCGUGCUAGAGAUGCUGAAAUAUCUGCAGUAUGGCAAACUGUACUUUCAAUGGAAACUGUGGUACAGUAAUGACAAAAAUAACAAGCACUAUGUGAAAGGCAUAACCUUUGGUCGGCGAGGGAACAAACUAGAUUUAUACUAUUCACCAAACAUGGGCCAUUCUGAUGCUGCGCCUGUACCAGUGGUUGUAUUUGUGUACGGAGGUGCCUGGGGAUCAGGAGACCGCUCCAUUUACUGUCUGUUAGCCUUACAAAUGGCAAAAGAGCUUAAUGCCUCUGUAAUUUGUCCAGAUUAUUCCAUAUAUCCAAAGGGAAAUGUUUUAAAUAUGGUUCAAGACAUAACUGACAGUUUGCUGUGGGUGAGAGGAAAGGGACAAACAUUCAAUCUUGAUCAAGACAACGUAAUAUUAAUAGGUCAUUCAGCAGGGGCUCAUCUGUGUGCCCUUACCACACUGUUUCUGGUGAACAAUGCAGAUGAACUGUUCCUUGAGACCAACAAACAGAGAGAUCUUGUAUCUGCCAUUAAAGGAAUCAUAGGUUUGAGUGGCGUUUACAGUAUAAUGGAUCAUUAUAAGCAUGAGAAAGUGAGGGCGGUUGAAUAUGUGUCAACUAUGCACAAAGCCAUGGAUGGUGUGGAGAACUUUGAUUAUUAUUCGCCGACAUCAUUACUCAAGAAAUUGAAUGAGGAUCAGUUGAAAAGAGUUCCUCCAGUGGUUUUGCUCCAUGGAACCAAUGACAUCAUAGUUCCCGUGGAAUCAUCAGUGAAGUUCUCGGAGCUCCUCACUGCCCUUUCCAUCAGGAUGUCUCUCUAUCUAAUACCUAAAAUGAACCACACUGAGAUGGUCACUGACCUUAUGGCUCCAGACAGGCACUUUUACCACACUGUUUAUGGCUGUAUUAAACAGGAGUACAGUAAAUUUCAAGGUUAUGUUGAUUAAUAUUUUUCAUUCAAUUCAGUAUUAAUUUCAUUUUCCAGUAUACCAGACAGUCAUUAUUUGUUCUUUAUGAUUUUACUGAAAGUUUACAUUUAAGUUCUAAUGAUUUGUUUUCUUCUGAAAUGUUUAAUUUUUGAUCAAAAAUGUGUUCAAUAACCCAUUAUACAAGAUAGCAAGGUGAAAGAAAACAUAAUAUUAUCUCUGUGCUUGUUAUCGGUUAAGAAAUUCUGUUAAUGUUCAAUGAAAUGUAAAAAAGAAGAGAUUGUUCCAAUUAAGAAUAUACAACAUAUUUUCGUGUUUGAAAUGUAAUAUGGAUGGAGAAAUUCUUAUUUUGCAUUUUUAUAACAUGUGUAAAUUAUUCCAUAAUAUAUUUAUUUAAACCAU